GGUUUUGAAAGUGUUCUUGCAAGGAAAAUUAAAUUAAAAUAAAACUGGAAAUUAAAUACAACCAAACAUAAUUGAAAACAUAAAAUAAUUGAACAAAGCAUGAAGACUAAAUAACAAAAAGAAAAACGCAUGACAUUGAAAAUAAAAUCACUAAGCUACUUCAUUCUAGAAGAAAAUGGUAUAAACUUUUCCAAAAAAAAUCAGCUAUGUGCUUCCCUAAAAUUGAAAAACUUUUUCUCCUCUGCUGGACGUGAAGCACACUUUUUCUCCAAAUAAAAAUCACCAUGCGCCACUUACAAAAUUCAAUAUCCAGCAUGUUGUUCCUUCUUAAAAUUCAAUCACGGCAUCCUAUAUAAUCAUCGUGGAUAACUUUUCUAGAAGACAAGAAAGUGAAUGAAAUUCAAAUAAAAAAGUUGCAACAGCAUGCACCACUUAAUGAAUCAGCCAUUCUUCAUUCAAAUAAAAAUGAAAAGUAUGUUUCAAUUACAAAAAAAUAAAAAAAUAAAAAAAUGAUCGCUUUGCUUCAUUCUCUCCAGGACGUCAGCGCAUAUGCCAUUUCCUUAAACCCAAGAUUGAACACCAACGUGAGACAACAACUCCUCAUUACCGUGCAGCUCUCAAUUCAAAAUAAAUCACUUGCAGCCAUCAGCCCAUCCUACCUAAUGCUAAUUAAAAGAUUGAAUUGUGCUCUAAAAUUC
This 698-nucleotide long non-coding RNA is filed under the name Vigna radiata. RNAcentral's name for it is "long non-coding RNA (VRAD_LNC014858)". The record is from RNAcentral. Lineage: Eukaryota; Viridiplantae; Streptophyta; Magnoliopsida; Fabales; Fabaceae.